GAUAUAUAUAUACAUCAUGGCAGCAACUAUGAAAAUAUCAGUAGCUAUUUUUCUCUUUUUUGGGCUACUCUUGAUUAUUCCUCUCUUUGCUCGCCCUCUAGACAUGUCUAUCAUAUCCGUGGAUUCAUCAAAACCAGUACCUCGACUCCUAAUGGAGUUCUCUAAGACCACAAAGCCGUCUACCGGAAAAUUGCAUCCCAAACAAACUGAGACAAACACCACCACCACAGCCAAUAGCACCACCACAUUUACUACAAAUGGAAACUUUCAGGCGGCUGCGCAUGAAGUUCCUAGCGGUCCAAAUCCGGAGUCUAACAAAUAAUAAGCAAAAGGCAUCAUCGAUUAUUGCCUAUCUUUUAUUUUAUUUGUUCGCUUUUUUCUUUUGGAUUAUCUAUAAUUAACCUAAUAUAGUAGUAGAAUGCAUGUAUAUGUUGCAUGCAUGGAUAGAUGAUUAUGCAAGAAUUAGGCAACAUUUUUGCUUUUGGGGUUGCAGUUUCUUCCGUGCCAAAGUUGUUUCCCGUUGGGAUUGAUUUGAAAGUGCAGAUUUUGGGUGUUUCCAAUGCCAAAAGCUUUCUUGGACAUAAUAUAGCCAUUUUAGGAGGGUUGUAAUAAGGCUUUUAGCAUAUUUUUUUUGCAGUUACAAUGUUGAUCUUGAUGGUAUGUAAUUCUGUUGUGGCCUUGUCUAUUCCUUUUGGACUUCCACAUUACGUACGAUUUUAAAUAAUUUUAAUAAAAUUUUGACUUUGUCAAUCAAAUUACUAGUAUUACUCAUAUAUAUAUAUCAUCAAAUAUGUAAUCUUACCAUAAAACAAAGAAAAUUUUGUCAUUUUGUUAUUGUAGACUUAAUGUGCGAUAAUUUGGUAGUCACACAUAAAACUCCAUCUGCUUCCUCACAAAGAGCAAUGAUCCUCAUCAUGAACCACAAAAAAACUCUAUAUAGGAUCCUCUCCAUUCUAUGGAAAAACUAGCAACAUUUUAAUUUUUUUUAAAUUCAUUUAAUUUCGAGUUUCUAGGCAACAUAGAAAGAUUUGAAGUCAAAUAUGGUCUUACCUUCAUGGCAGUGGUGUCUGACAAUUUUCUCAGUAACAAGCUUUAGCCCUGCGCUUCAUAAAUUUUUUCCGGCAAGUUCUGUGCUCCAUAAAUUAUUACUGAGUAGGCCAUGGGU
RNAcentral lists this long non-coding RNA (1165 nucleotides) under Panax ginseng (ginseng). RNAcentral describes it as "long non-coding RNA (PGIN_LNC012417)". Lineage: Eukaryota; Viridiplantae; Streptophyta; Magnoliopsida; Apiales; Araliaceae. The record is from RNAcentral.